Molecule: ribosomal RNA, 254 nt
Filed under: uncultured bacterium
Lineage: Bacteria
Description: partial 16S ribosomal RNA
Rfam family: Bacterial small subunit ribosomal RNA
Source: RNAcentral
CGUAGGUGGCAAGCGUUGUCCGGAAUUACUGGGUGUAAAGGGAGCGCAGGCGGGUGAUCAAGUCAGCUGUGAAACUACGGGCUUAACCCGUAGACUGCAGUUGAAACUGUUCAUCUUGAGUGAAGUAGAGGUUGGCGGAAUUCCGAGUGUAGCGGUGAAAUUGCGUAGAUAUUCGGAGGAACACCGGUGGCGAAGGCGGCCAACUGGGCUUUAACUGACGCUGAGGCUCGAAAGUGUGGGGAGCAAACAGGAUU